RNAcentral lists this ribosomal RNA (498 nucleotides) under uncultured bacterium. RNAcentral describes it as "bacterial SSU rRNA". It matches the Rfam family "Bacterial small subunit ribosomal RNA", at positions 25 to 518 of the family's 1533-position model. The record is from RNAcentral.
CAGGAUGAACGCUAGCGGCAGGCUUAACACAUGCAAGUCGAGGGGCAUCGGGAGUAGCAAUACUGCCGGCGACCGGCGCAAGGGUGCGUAACGCGUGAGCAACAUGCCCGUAUCAGGGGGAUAAUCCAUGGAAACGUGGUCUAAUACCCCAUAGUAAUUAUGUAAGGCAUCUUAUAUAAUUUAAAGCUUUGGUGGAUACGGAUUGGCUCGCGUGACAUUAGCUGGAUGGUAAGGUAACGGCUUACCAUGGCUACGAUGUCUAGGGGUUCUGAGAGGAAGGUCCCCCACACUGGAACUGAGACACGGUCCAGACUCCUACGGGAGGCAGCAGUGAGGAAUAUUGGACAAUGGAUGGAAAUCUGAUCCAGCCAUGCCGCGUGCAAGGAAGACGGCCCUAUGGGUUGUAAACUGCUUUUGUAUGGGAGCAAUAAGGGCUACGUGUAGUCCGAUGAGAGUACCAUACGAAUAAGCACCGGCUAACUCCGUGCCAGCCGCCGC